This 1458-nucleotide long non-coding RNA is filed under the name Anser cygnoides (Swan goose). Its description in RNAcentral is "lncRNA (ENSACDG00005002320.1)". The record is from RNAcentral. Lineage: Eukaryota; Metazoa; Chordata; Aves; Anseriformes; Anatidae.
AUGUCAUGGCUAAGCAGGGGGACGAAGUCAAAGGAGAAGCCGGAGUCGGAGAGCUCUCUGACUCAGGAGGAGAGGGGGCUGUUGGUGCAGGCUAUGCUGGAGCACGGGGGGGAUCCUUGGGAUUACAAAGUGGUCGGCCAGGAUCCCACUCUCAAAGCCGCCGAAAGGCACUGGGUAAACUACAUUGCCGCGUAUCAUCCUAAAGGAGAAAAGAAGUGCUCGGCCUUGCAGUGGCUGCUGUUCGAUCUGGCCAGUAUCUUGCAAGCCACGGUAGAAGAGAAGGAGCAAUGCAUAAAGACCUUGCAGAACAACCUGCAGGUGGCCCACAACGAAAUCCUCGAGCUGCGCUGCGAUAACGCUCUGCUAAGCGAGCAGGCCGAGCAAGUAAGAAAAAUGAAAGAAGAACUCAGGGCAGAGAAUGCUGAUAAUGCCCGGUUAAGAAAGAAAGUGCAGUGCUUGGGUAAGCUGUUAUCCCUCGGGAAAGGCUUGGACCAAAGGAAGGUAGCGGCUCUGAGCGAGACAAAUUGCAACCUGGAGAUGUGGGACGGGGAUACCUGGAAUGUGGAGAACCAGGAAAACUCUGCGGUGCAAGGGGUGGGGGCCAGAAAAAUAAAGCCGGCGGAGGGAGAUGGAAGCCAGGGAGUGGGGGAUAUGUCCAGAAAAGAGAAAGUUUGGAAGAAACAGAGGGAGGGAUGGCCUGUGUGGGUAAACCGAAUUUGGACUUUAGAACAGCACACCCCUUUCAAAUACGAGGCGGCAAAGCAGGUGGUAACAGCCAUAGGGCUGCCCUGGCCCAAGGUGGGGGCGAUCAUCAGAGCCUUGCCCCCCGAAGAGGCACUGGGGGGAGAGAUCUUAAGGCUGGUGAUUAGAAAUCUGGGAGAAUAUGAGCCUCUCAAGGACAACAUGGAAGGGGCGCCCUGGAGAGACGUCCGGGAGGCGUCAGCCUACGUGUGUGGGAAUGUGGUGCUCCGGGUGCUAAAGCAGCAGGAGAAGCCAGUGACCGCUGACUUCGACAUCCUCGGGGUGAAUGUGGAGCAGGCAGACGUAGGGGUGCUGGCCUGCCGUGCUCCAGAGGUGCAUAAGGGGUUUUUCAUCAGCCUGGGGUCGAUUUUAAUUGGCCGUCCCCUCCAUGAGUGCAUGGCUACGUUAGAGAACUUGGGGACCCUCGUGGGAGCGGAGGGAAAAGAGAAGGCAAAGAAGGAGGUGGUGGGGGUAAAGACAAGGACGUACAUCCCUAGAGGAAUAAUUUGGAGAUAUUUAAUAAAUCAGGGAGUGAAUGAAGGAGAGCUAGAUAGUCAGCCCACGGGAGUUUUACUUGCCAAAAUGAAAAAAAUCCUUCAGGAAAAGGGGAUGAAACAAGAGGAGAUAUGGGAAAAACUGAAGCAAACAAAGCCGUCACCUCCUCCUUCUAUCCCAAAGAGAAAACUAUACCCAUCGCUGAGGGACCUUAAAGAUUAG